GACCACUUAACGGAAUCGCGGAGUAGAAGGGAUUCCGGACCUCUCAACGAAAUCUGAGUGGAUACGAUUCCGGACCACUUAACGGAAUCGCGGAGUACAAUAUAAAUCAGACCACUCAAUUAAAUUCAAGCUAGAUACGAUUCCGGACUACUCAACGGAAUCGCGGAGCACAAGGGAUUCAGGACCACUCCACGGAAUCCAUACAGAGCAGGGAACUGGACCACUCAACGGAACCCCAGUGGAACCCAGAUCCGAAUCCCUCAACGAAAUUGAGCAGAAGUCCAAGAAUAUGACAACGACUCGAGGAAACAAUACAUGAACCAAGUACUCAAUUUAGAAGGCUGAACGAAAUGAAACAAAGCGCAAGUACUAAGUUUAGAACAGAUCAACGAAGCAAGAUAUGAAACAAUAUCGAAGCAACGAAUCCCUAUGACAGUGGGUUAACGGUCCACUAGUAGCCUUCACAUUUCAUCACAUCAUACCAAUCAUACAAAUCAAACCAUAUUCCACAAACAUUUUCAACGCACAAAUCAAAACAUACUUAAUAAACAAGUAUAAUAUAAUACGUUGUCACUAGUACGCGAAUCGAGUCACACAUCAAUCGAGGAGACAUGUUAGCACGAUGAGCCCAUCAAGCUCCAUGAAAUCUUAUCCGCACUCUAGAAUAACUGACACACUAGAAACUUAGUUUAGUUGACUAAAAAACCAAUUGUUGAUCAAGGUCGAGAGUAGGAUCCACAACCCCAGAAAUCUAAAACAGAAGAUCUGCCUAUCAUAUUUUUGAUCCAUAACUUCUAAAGUCCACAUUAUGCUUCUAGAACAAUAUAUUAAAAUUUCAUUGCGAUCCGAUGAUCGGAUCUUCACCAAUCAUAAAUUUAAGUGACCGUCAACAUUUGAUUUUACAAACUUAGAAAUCCACUUCGGGAAGAUCCGCACAUCAAAUUCCCAAUCCGUCAGUUCCUAAUGUUCUCAAAUAUUUCGUACUAUUACGUAUUAAAGUUUGGUGCCAAUCCAACGGUCGGAUCAUCAAUUCAUAUAAUAAUCAAGUGUCGGCCAACUAGGCAGUCAAUUACGAAACUAUGUUAAAAUAUCGAAAUUUCACUAAACGGAUGUCAAAUAUGGAAUCGGGGCAUCAAAUUAGCCUACAAUGGUCAGGUGGGGUUUCGGCCCAUGUGCCACCGCUAAAUGCCGCCGUACGUAGCGAUCGACCGCCCCGAUUCGUCGGAAAAUUUAACCAUUUUAAAAAAUUACCAAAUUUUAUAGAAAUGUAGAGCAAGUUAAGGGGAGAAACUUUCAUACCUAGGCUG
This 1307-nucleotide long non-coding RNA is filed under the name Malus domestica (apple). RNAcentral's name for it is "long non-coding RNA (MDOM_LNC000662)". The record is from RNAcentral. Lineage: Eukaryota; Viridiplantae; Streptophyta; Magnoliopsida; Rosales; Rosaceae.